UGGGGAAUAUUGCACAAUGGGGGAAACCCUGAUGCAGCAACGCCGCGUGAGUGAUGACGGCCUUCGGGUUGUAAAGCUCUGUCUUCAGGGACGAUAAUGACGGUACCUGAGGAUGAAGCCACGGCUAACUACGUGCCAGCAGCCGCGGUAAUACGUAGGUGGCAAGCGUUGUCCGGAUUUACUGGGCGUAAAGGGAGCGUAGGCGGACUUUUAAGUGAGAUGUGAAAUACCCGGGCUCAACCUGGGUGCUGCAUUUCAAACUGGAAGUCUAGAGUGCAGGAGAGGAGAUUGGAAUUCCUAGUGUAGCGGUGAAAUGCGUAGAGAUUAGGAAGAACACCAGUGGCGAAGGCGACUCUCUGGACUGUAACUGACGCUGAGGCUCGAAAGCGUGGGGAGCAAACA
RNAcentral lists this ribosomal RNA (402 nucleotides) under uncultured bacterium. RNAcentral describes it as "bacterial SSU rRNA". It matches the Rfam family "Bacterial small subunit ribosomal RNA", at positions 355 to 774 of the family's 1533-position model. The record is from RNAcentral.